GGCUUCAUAGCUCGGUUCAGUUAGAGCGUCGCACCGGUAUCGCGAGGUCAACUGGUUCAAACCCCGUUGAAGUCC
RNAcentral lists this transfer RNA (75 nucleotides) under Acropora cervicornis. RNAcentral describes it as "tRNA-Thr". It matches the Rfam family "tRNA". From Rfam's summary of the family: Transfer RNA (tRNA) molecules are approximately 80 nucleotides in length. Their secondary structure includes four short double-helical elements and three loops (D, anti-codon, and T loops). The record is from RNAcentral. Lineage: Eukaryota; Metazoa; Cnidaria; Anthozoa; Scleractinia; Acroporidae.